Molecule: small RNA, 127 nt
Filed under: Marmota monax (woodchuck)
Lineage: Eukaryota; Metazoa; Chordata; Mammalia; Rodentia; Sciuridae
Source: RNAcentral
GCCAGGUACAGAGGUGUAUUCCUGUAAUCCCAGUGGCUUGGGAGGCUGAGGCAGGAGGAUCUCUAGUUCAAAACCAGCCUUAGCAAUAUAGGGAGGCCCUAAGCAGGUUAGUGAGAUCCCGUGUCUA